Long non-coding RNA from Asparagus officinalis (garden asparagus), 2361 nucleotides. RefSeq lists it as uncharacterized. The transcript has 2 exons. The record is from RefSeq and is a predicted model, not a curated record. NCBI's taxonomy places the organism in Eukaryota, Viridiplantae, Streptophyta, Magnoliopsida, Asparagales, Asparagaceae.
CUGAGCCAGCCAUGGCAGCUUGGAGGCAGGAACAUGUCAGGAGGAGGAAGAGGAGUGGCAGUGCAGGAGAGAGCUUCUUCAUCUUUGAUCAGCUGUUGUGUAAUGAAGUUCUGGUUUGUUUAGUUACCUGAGCCAGCCAUGACAACAUAAUUUGCAGAGUUGAUGCUUUUGGGUUUCAUAUUCCAUGCAAGCAUGUGCUCUGCCACAGUUUGCACGUUUUAUUCACUCAAACAAUAAAACCUGUAACUCAAUUUAAUUAAUUACCUGUCGACCAUCUAGUUAAUAUAUACUAGCUAGUGCUACAUUCCAUUCACUUGCCAGUCUGGCAGCAGCACGAACACGCAGGUCUCGGUUUGAAUCUAAAUCUCUGAUAAUAACAAAAGGGUGCAUAUGACUUUUUCUGAUGCUGUUUCCCACAUGCAUGCCCAUGACAUCAUUUCUCCAUCUAAUGAUUAAAUCCCCCUCUCUUCACACAGACACGUUACAAGAUCAAAUUAAGAAACUAAGUUAAUGUACUAUUUUCUUUAUGCAUACACAUGUUCAAAUAAAAAAAGUUGUUGUGACGUUGUCAUGUUUCAGCGUCUUACUUGGGGGAAUAGUCAUGUCCUCAUAUUUGCAUCAUGUUAUGUUCUCAACUUUGUAUCCUUGGUUCUCAGUAGGAGUUUAGGUGUGGUGUCAAUUAGUUUCAGAAGGUAAAUUGAAUUUUAAGUUAGUCUUGUUCAUUAUUUAUUAAGUUAUCUGUUGUUGUUAAGAUUUCUAUGUCUUGAGUUGUUUUUUCUUAGGACUUCAUUAAAUUUGCAUCCUGCUAAAUAUAUAUUCAUGAUAUAUGUGUAAUCUGCUUGCAUGUUCAACUUUUAAUGUGAUAGGUUAAAAAUGAUAAAUGAUGGAAGGGAUUCAAUGAUCCAACAUAAACGUACAAGGGAAGAAUUUGAGAGGAGAGAGGAUGAGGAUAUUGUUAUGGUAACGGUCAGUUUUAUAGUUGCUACCAUUGGUGUUUGGUACUAUACAAAGCACAUGUUGAAGGGGAGUUCAAGAACAAACGAAGAAGAGGAUGAAAGGACAUAUCUUAGAAAGUCUUGGAUUCGAACUCUUAUUUGCAAUGCAAAUAAUUGUGUUGAACAACUAAGGAUGAAUCCUCAAGUGUUUAAGAGGUUAUGUGAUGUUCUAUGUACUAGAGACAAGAGUUUAUAAAAAUGUAUGAAAAUAAAUGACGUUACCCACAAAUCAUCAAGAGUUGAAGCAUAAUACAUAGCAAGAUAAGGAGGAGGGAAAAAAAGGCUAAAAUAAUAGCUGGACAAAAACUAGCUCGAAGCUUAAUUAAACUUCUGCUUCCUCUUUGAGCUGUGGCUUGAUUAUGAGCUCGAUGGAAUGUUAAGACCACUCUUUGGAUGAAUCUCGUAAGCCUAUAAUCUAUAUUUGGUAGGUAUGAUCUUUCUAAAAAUGUUUAGUUUGGCUUCAUAUGUACUCUUCAAGUUCGGUUAGUUAACUUCAAUAUAUACAAUCAACUUUUUACAUGCAUGCAAUGCAAAUAAUUGUGUUGAACAACUAAGGAUGAAAGGACUAAUUUCGUGCUUCUUGCUGCUGAUUUAAUUGCAUAAAAAGGCAUAGCUGGUGGAUUUGCAUCCCAAGACAAUCUAUUGCCACCUGCUACCAUUGGUCUUCUUGGAUUGCUUCUACUAUUUAAGGUAAAAUACAAAGUUUGAGAUGAACUUUCUUUUCCUCAGUUUGAGUGAUAGCAGCAGUGGCAUCUAAGAUAUGUUAACAAAAUAUACAUGAUUAGCAAAUUUCUCACAACUUGAUUAGCAAAUUAAGAUAAGUUUAGAGAGUUUUCCUCAGUUUUGUACUUCUCACAACUUGAUUAGCAAAUUUCUACACCUUGUCAACUCAUAUAUACAUGCAGGUCAUUCAAUUGAACUGCAUUAAUUGUGAAUGCCACCUUUACCUUCUCAAUAUUAUUUGUUUUUCUACUUAGUUGGUCUGUGUGUUAUGGUGAUCUAUUGCAACAGAAUGUGUCAUAUAUGUUCUGAGAUCAUUUUAUAUCCAGUAUGCUUUUCUCAUAAGCAGUCUCAGGCUUUUCUAAUAUCAACGUUAUGGGUUUUUUUUCGCAGGUCAAACGUGAUAUUAUGCUGAGUGCUUGUGCUUUGGUCUCACCUUUUUUGUUUCUCAUUGUCACUUGUUGUGGUGUUUGCUUCUAUGGUGAAUGAUUGUGGCUUAUAGUGUAAUCCAAUAUAUUGGCAUCUGAUGUUUUGUGGUUUGGUACAUUUGCUCUUUUAUUGGAUGUCUUUGUAAAGAUACUAGUGGAGAGUAUAUCAAAGUGAUGUCCAAGUACGUUAACGAAAAAAUUGAAAGAUACUUAUUAUA